CAAAUUUUGAUUACACAAGGGACUGUGUAUUUAAGUUUGGGAGAGUGUUCAAGACGUAUUUGACAUGUUUUUUGUGAAUAUCAUUUGAGUCUACAUAUCAUCUAAGACAUAGAAAAAAACAAAACAAUUUUGAACAUUUUCUGAAAAUGAAUUCCACAAAUGCUGAGUGUUCAUAUAGUUGCAUUAGAUUUAGGAUCGAGUCUAGAGUGUUUCAUUUAGGAUUUUUGCAUAUGCAUUGGGGAUAAUGACGAGAUAACCUUGUAAGCAUGUUGAUUUACUUAAUAGACUCAAUGCCCCCAUUAUCAGUUGUUUGAUGCAUUUGAA
RNAcentral lists this small RNA (324 nucleotides) under Arabidopsis thaliana (thale cress). RNAcentral describes it as "ATSL093740". Lineage: Eukaryota; Viridiplantae; Streptophyta; Magnoliopsida; Brassicales; Brassicaceae. The record is from RNAcentral.